ACGAACGCUGGCGGCGUGCUUAACACAUGCAAGUCGAACGGAAAGGCCCUGCUUUUGUGGGGUGCUCGAGUGGCGAACGGGUGAGUAACACGUGAGUAACCUGCCCUUGACUUUGGGAUAACUUCAGGAAACUGGGGCUAAUACCGGAUAGGAGCUCCUGCUGCAUGGUGGGGGUUGGAAAGUUUCGGCGGUUGGGGAUGGACUCGCGGCUUAUCAGCUUGUUGGUGGGGUAGUGGCUUACCAAGGCUUUGACGGGUAGCCGGCCUGAGAGGGUGACCGGCCACAUUGGGACUGAGAUACGGCCCAGACUCCUACGGGAGGAAGCAGUGGGGAAUAUUGCACAAUGGGCGGAAGCCUGAUGCAGCAACGCCGCGUGCGGGAUGACGGCCUUCGGGUUGUAAACCGCUUUCGCCUGUGACGAAGCGUGAGUGACGGUAAUGGGUAAAGAAGCACCGGCUAACUACGUG
RNAcentral lists this ribosomal RNA (467 nucleotides) under uncultured bacterium. RNAcentral describes it as "partial 16S ribosomal RNA". It matches the Rfam family "Bacterial small subunit ribosomal RNA", at positions 29 to 507 of the family's 1533-position model. The record is from RNAcentral.